ACCAUCCCAGGUCAGGCGAGAUUACCCACUAAGUUUAAGCAUAUCAAUAAGUGGUGGAAAAAAAACUUACCAGGAUUCCCCUAGUAAUGACAAGCAAACUAGGAAGAGCCUAGUUUGAGAAUUGGGCACCCUAGCAUCCGAAUUGUAGUUUAAAGAAGCAUAUUUAAUGGCAGACCAAGCAUAAGUCCCCUGGAAAAGGGCAUCAAAAAAGGUAAGAGCCUUAUUGUGCAUGGACCCUAUCCCAUAAUAAGGUGCAAUCUAUGAGUCAGGUUGUUUGGGAAUGCAAUCCAAAUCGAGCAGUAAAUUCUAUCCAAGGCUAAAUACAGGUGAGUGACUGAUAGUAAAAUAGUACUACAAGGGAAAGAUGAAAAGGUAUUUGAAAAGAGAUUCAAAUAGUGCUUGAAAUUGUUAUGAGGGAAGUAAAUAGGGCCUGGCUAUGCACCUUGGUUAAACAUGGAAUGGCGAGAGCCAGUUUGUAGAUUGACUCGAAGCAUGGACUAAUGUGGGUCAUGGUGGAGGCCUAAGAUUGGGCUUUCGAUAUGCCUAUAAAGAUGUCGUUUUUGUAAUUGUGGAAUGCAACACAAGUCAUCUUAGUGUGCCUUGGCACUCGCAUGCUCCCGACAUUGGCCUAUAGGCUUCCCAUCCAGCCUAUCUUGAAACAUGAACCAAAGAGUCUGACAUAUGUGCAAGUCAAUAAGCUAGAAAACCCAUAAGGUGCAAAGAAGCUAAUUGGUGAGAUCCCUCAUGGGUGUACCAUUGAUUAACCUUGAUCUUUUGGAAAGGGUUCAAGUGUAAGCAUGCCGGUUGGGACCGAAAAGAUGGUGAACUAUGCUUGAGUAGGGUAAAGCUAGAAGAAACUUUGAUGGAGGCCUAUAGUGAUAUUAACAUGCAAAUCAUUCAUCUGACUUGGGUUUACGGGUGAAAGACUAAUCAAACCAUCUAGUAGCUAGUUCCCUCUUAAGUUUCCCUCAAGAUAGCAGAGCACUUAGCAAGUUUUAUUAGGUAAAGCCAAUGAUUAGAGGCAUCAAGGGUGCAAUGCCCUCAACCUACUCUCAAACUUUAAAUAUGUAGGAUGGUGCAGCUACUUCAUUGAGCCGUGCCAUAGAAUUGAGAGCUCUAAAUGGGCCAUUUUUGGUAAGCAAAACUGACAAUAAGGGAUGAACUGAAAGCUGAGUUAUGGUGCCCAACUAUGUGCUAACCUAGAACCUAUAAAGGGUAUUGGUCGAUUAAAAUAGUAGGAUAGGGGUCAUGAAAGUUAAAAUCCGAUGAGUGUGUAACAACUUACCUAUCAAAUCAACUAGCCUAAAAAAUGGAUGGCAUUUAAACAUGUGUUAGGGCAAGGGCAAAGGCCAGGCCUUAAUGAGUAGAAGGGCAUGGUGGUCACUGCAAAACUUAGGGCAUAAACCCCAUAAAGUAGCCUCGGUGCUGAUCUUGGUGGUAGUAGCAAAUAUUCAAAUAAGAACAUUGAAUGCUAAAAAAGGAAAAGGUUUCAUGUGAAUUGCACUUGCACAUGGGUUAGUCGAUCCUAAGAGAUGAGGGAAGCCCAUCCAAUAGUGUGUCCAAUGUGAGCUUUAAAAGGGAAUUGAGUUAAAAUUCCUGAACAAGGAUGCAUAGGCUAAUGACAAUAUUAGGUAGUCUAGAGGUGUUAAAGGGGGCCUUAGGAAAAGUUAUCUUUUCUAUUUAUGGCCUGCCCACCCUAGAAAUGGCUUAGCCAACGGUAGGGUCCAGCAAUCGAAAAAGCAUCACAUGUCACAUAGUGUUUGGUGUGCCCUCAGCGACCCUUGAAAAUUUGGAGGACUGAGUGCUCUCCAUGCCUGGUCAUAUUCAUAAUUGCAUCACUCUCCAAGGAGAACAGUCUCUAGUCAAUGGAACAAUGUAGGUAAGGGAAGUCGACAAAAUGGAUCCAUAACCUCAAGAAAAGGAUUGGCUUUAAGGGUUAGGCAUGGGGUCCUAGUCCUAAACUCAUCGGCUGUCAAUGCACUACUCGAACUGGUCUCGUGGCAACAGUGGGUUAUUGCGUGCCAAUCAAGGAUGGACUUGGAAAGGCUUCCUUGAGGGCUUUCCCCGAGUAAUGAAUAGUCGACUCAAAAUUGAUACGGAUAAAGGGAAUCUAACUAUUUAAUUAAAAUAAAGCAUUACAAUGGUCCCUACGAAUGCUCAUGCAAUGUGAUUUAUGCCCAGUGCUUUAAAGGUCAAAGUGAAAAACUCAACCAAGUGAGUGUAAACGACAGGACUAACUAUGACUCUCUUAUGGUAGCCAAAUGCCUCAUCAUCUAAUUAGUGAGCACAUGAAUGGAUUAACACAAUUCCCAUUGUCCCUAUCUACUAUCCAAUGAAACCACAAUCAAAGGAAUGGGCUUGACAGAAUCAGUAGGGAAAGAAAACCCUAUUCAGCUUGACUCUAGUCCAACCUAUGAAAUGAAUUGAGAGGUGUAGGAUAAGUGGAAGCCCUAAGUCAAAAUUGAAAUACCACAACUUUUAACAUUAUUUUACUUAUUUCAUGAAUUGGAGGCAAGGCAGAACCCUUUCUAUUUGGCCUAAGGCCAACCUUGAUCAGUCGAUUAGGGUAAAAGACAUUGUCAGGUGGGGAGUUUGGCUGGGGUAGCACAUCUGUUAAAAGAUAAUGCAUGUGUCCUAAUAUGAGCUCAACGAGAAUAGAAAUCUCUUAUAGAACAAAAGGAUAAAAGCUCAUUUGAUUUUGUUUUCUAGUACGAAUAAACUAUGAAAGCAUGGCCUAUUAAUCCUGUAGACCUUUAAAAUUUGAAGCUAGAGGUGUCAGAAAAGUUAACAGAAGGAUAACUAGCUUAUGGCAGACAAGUGUUCAUAGUGAUGUUGCUUUUUAAUCUUUCAAUGUUGGCUCUUCCUAUCAUUGUGAAGCAAAAUUCACCAAGUGUUGGAUUGUUCACCCUCCAAUAAAGAAUGUGAGCUAGGUUUACACCGUUAUGAGAUAGGUUAGUUUUACUAAAAUGGUAGCAUCACAAUAAUAAUUCAAACUAAUACGAAAGGAAUUGUUAUUCGUGCAUUUGGUUAUCCCAUUUGGUUGAAAAGCUAGUGGCAUAAAGCUACCAUGCACUUGAUUAUGACUGAAUGCCUUUACAUUAGAAUCUAGGUUAGAAGGGACACAAGCAUCUGUCACCCAACUGUCAACUAGUAGUAAGGGCCUAUGCCUUGAAGGGCACAUGUCAUAGGUGUAACACCCUUAGCAAACAAGCUAUACGGGCCUCCUUGGAGCU
This 3233-nucleotide ribosomal RNA is filed under the name Durio zibethinus. Its description in RNAcentral is "eukaryotic LSU rRNA". It matches the Rfam family "Eukaryotic large subunit ribosomal RNA". The record is from RNAcentral. Lineage: Eukaryota; Viridiplantae; Streptophyta; Magnoliopsida; Malvales; Malvaceae.